Molecule: ribosomal RNA, 478 nt
Filed under: uncultured archaeon
Lineage: Archaea
Description: bacterial SSU rRNA
Rfam family: Archaeal small subunit ribosomal RNA
Source: RNAcentral
CGCGCCUAAACUCAAAGAUUAAUCGCCUAAGGAUGAGUCUGCGGACUAUCAGGUUGUAGUCAGGGUAAAGACCUGACUAGCCUACGACGGAUACGGGUUGUGAGAGCAAUAACCCGGAGAUGAUAUCUGAGACACGAUAUCGGGCCCUACGGGGCGCAGCAGGCGCGAAACCUUCACGCUGUGCGAAAGCGCGAUGAGGGAAUCCCAAGUGCUUGCUCUUAGGAGUAAGCUGUUUUCCUGUUUAAAUUGCAGGAAGAGGAAGGGCUGGGUAAGACGGGUGCCAGCCGCCGCGGUAAUACCUGCAGCUCAAGUGGUGACCGCUAUUAUUGGGCCUAAAACGUCCGUAGCCGGCUGAGUAAAUGCCUGGGUAAAUCGUGUCGCUUAACGAUACGAACUCCGGGUAGACUGCUUGGCUUGAGACUGGGAGAAGCUAGAGGUACUCCUGGGGUAGAGGUGACAUUCUGUAAUCCUGGGGGGA